AUUUUUUUAGGAAGCGGGGGAACCAACCGUGGCUCAUGAGUCACAUGGGGUGAAUCUCAAAACAUUGAGUAGGGCACUCUCAAGCCCGAAUCCGUCAGCUAACCUCGUCAGCGCAUUGAGAGAG
RNAcentral lists this small RNA (124 nucleotides) under Massilibacterium senegalense. RNAcentral's name for it is "ydaO/yuaA leader". It matches the Rfam family "c-di-AMP riboswitch aptamer (ydaO/yuaA leader)", at positions 17 to 129 of the family's 134-position model. From Rfam's summary of the family: This family represents a conserved RNA structure found upstream of the ydaO and yuaA genes in Bacillus subtilis and related genes in other bacteria. The ydaO/yuaA element is thought to act as a genetic "off" switch for the ydaO and yuaA genes in its native state. The record is from RNAcentral. Lineage: Bacteria; Bacillati; Bacillota; Bacilli; Caryophanales; Bacillaceae.